This 470-nucleotide ribosomal RNA is filed under the name uncultured bacterium. RNAcentral describes it as "partial 16S ribosomal RNA". It matches the Rfam family "Bacterial small subunit ribosomal RNA", at positions 28 to 507 of the family's 1533-position model. The record is from RNAcentral.
GACGAACGCUGGCGGCGUGCUUAACACAUGCAAGUCGAACGCUGAAGCACCAGCUUGCUGGUGUGGAUGAGUGGCGAACGGGUGAGUAAUACGUGAGUAACCUGCCCUUGACUCUGGGAUAAGCCCGGGAAACUGGGUCUAAUACUGGAUGCUACAUGUCACCGCAUGGUGGUGUGUGGAAAGGGUUUACUGGUCUUGGAUGGGCUCACGGCCUAUCAGCUUGUUGGUGAGGUAAUGGCUCACCAAGGCGACGACGGGUAGCCGGCCUGAGAGGGUGACCGGCCACACUGGGACUGAGACACGGCCCAGACCCCUACGGGAGGCAGCAGUGGGGAAUAUUGCACAAUAGGCGAACGCCUGAUGCAGCGACGCCGGGGGAGGGAUGACGGGCUUCGGGUUGUAAACCUCUUUCAGCAAGGAAGAAGCCACAAGUGACGGUACCUGCAGAAGAAGCGCCGGCUAACUACGUG